CCUACGGUGGGCAGCAGUGGGGAAUAUUGCACAAUGGGCGCAAGCCUGAUGCAGCCAUGCCGCGUGUGUGAAGAAGGCCUUCGGGUUGUAAAGCACUUUCAGCGGGGAGGAAGGCGUUAAGGUUAAUAACCUUGGCGAUUGACGUUACCCGCAGAAGAAGCACCGGCUAACUCCGUGCCAGCAGCCGCGGUAAUACGGAGGGUGCAAGCGUUAAUCGGAAUUACUGGGCGUAAAGCGCACGCAGGCGGUCUGUCAAGUCGGAUGUGAAAUCCCCGGGCUCAACCUGGGAACUGCAUUCGAAACUGGCAGGGUAGAGUCUUGUAGAGGGGGGUAGAAUUCCAGGUGUAGCGGUGAAAUGCGUAGAGAUCUGGAGGAAUACCGGUGGCGAAGGCGGCCCCCUGGACAAAGACUGACGCUCAGGUGCGAAAGCGUGGGGAGCAAACAGGAUUAGAUACCCUUGUAGUC
This 465-nucleotide ribosomal RNA is filed under the name uncultured Klebsiella sp. Its description in RNAcentral is "bacterial SSU rRNA". It matches the Rfam family "Bacterial small subunit ribosomal RNA", at positions 338 to 795 of the family's 1533-position model. Lineage: Bacteria; Pseudomonadati; Pseudomonadota; Gammaproteobacteria; Enterobacterales; Enterobacteriaceae. The record is from RNAcentral.